UACGUAGGGUGCGAGCGUUAAUCGGAAUUACUGGGCGUAAAGUGUGCGCAGGCGGUUUUGUAAGCCAGAUGUGAAAGCCCCGGGCUCAACCUGGGAAUGGCAUUUGGGACUGCAAGGCUUGAGUGCGGCAGAGGAGACUGGAAUUCCUGGUGUAGCAGUGAAAUGCGUAGAUAUCAGGAGGAAUACCGAUGGCGAAGGCAGGUCUCUGGGCUGACACUGACGCUCAUGCACGAAAGCGUGGGGAGCAAACAGG
Molecule: ribosomal RNA, 253 nt
Filed under: uncultured bacterium
Lineage: Bacteria
Description: partial 16S ribosomal RNA
Rfam family: Bacterial small subunit ribosomal RNA
Source: RNAcentral